GAUGAACGCUGGCGGCGUGCCUAAUACAUGCAAGUCGAGCGAACGGACGCGAAGCUUGCUUCUCUGAUGUUAGCGGCGGACGGGUGAGUAACACGUGGAUAACCUACCUAUAAGACUGGGAUAACUUCGGGAAACCGGAUCUAAUACCGGAUAAUAUUUUGAACCGCAUGGUUCAAAAGUGAAAGACGGUCUUGCUGUCACUUAUAGAUGGAUCCGCGCUGCAUUAGCUAGUUGGUAAGGUAACGGCUUACCAAGGCAACUAUGCAUAGCCGACCUGAGAGGGUGAUCGGCGACACGGGAACUGAGACGCGGUCCAUGCGCCUACGGGAGGCAGCAGUAGGCAACCGUCCGCAGUAGGCGGAAGCCUGACGGAGCAACGGCGCGUGAGAGAUGAAGAUCUUGGGAGCGUGAAGCUCGGUUAUGAGGUAAGAACAUAUGUGUAAGUAAACGUACACAGAUUGACGGUACCUAAUCAGAAAGCCACGGCUAACUACGUG
RNAcentral lists this ribosomal RNA (497 nucleotides) under uncultured bacterium. Its description in RNAcentral is "partial 16S ribosomal RNA". It matches the Rfam family "Bacterial small subunit ribosomal RNA", at positions 28 to 507 of the family's 1533-position model. The record is from RNAcentral.